UCUGAGGAUGUCCUGUUCUGGACG
RNAcentral lists this non-coding RNA (24 nucleotides) under Cricetulus griseus (Chinese hamster). Lineage: Eukaryota; Metazoa; Chordata; Mammalia; Rodentia; Cricetidae. The record is from RNAcentral.